RNAcentral lists this long non-coding RNA (2048 nucleotides) under Theobroma cacao (cacao). Its description in RNAcentral is "long non-coding RNA (TCAC_LNC003691)". Lineage: Eukaryota; Viridiplantae; Streptophyta; Magnoliopsida; Malvales; Malvaceae. The record is from RNAcentral.
AAGGCUUAGCAUCAGCUUUCGCAUCUCCCCGGUGAGCGACAGUUAUUAAAUCUCGCAUUUCAAGAAAUCAUAAGUCGUUUCCAAAUCAAAACAAUAAAAUAUUAUUUUUUGGCUCACAAGGGCAUUUUCGUCAUUGUUUUUCAAAAUACUGAAACCCGCCAAAAACAUGGUGUAAAAAAUAAAUAUGUUCGUACAUACUUUAAAUCAGAUAACUAAAGUAUAAAUUUUUUUUUACAGUGACACGUGGGCCCCUAACUGACCAAGAGGGUGUAGGGCUACGAACCCUUACUUUCUAGGAUGCAACUCCGAGAUUAAUUCUCGUCUUACUCAACUAUCAACAAACUGUCUUGAGCCUGAAAAAUGGAUAGGAAGAGGGGUGAGAUUAUGAUUACAUAAUUCUAGUGAGUAAACAAACACCAUCUAAAUAAUCUAAAGGUGAGUAAAGGGAGACAAUUAAAAAUAAUUCAUUUCAGCAAAUUUUUCACAACACGAAUAUUCAUUUCAACCAAAUAAUCAAUAUGGCUCGUAAAUUUCUCAAAACUUGGCUCAUGUCAAAUCCUGUACUUGGGGACAUCUGGACCAGGGGUAUCCAACCGAGUCCGCCAAGGUUGUGAAAAAUUUUAUAUAAUCAUAAAAUUUGUUUUUAUUUUGACAACAUAGUUGUUCCUUGACGUUGGCUGAGUCUCACUCUCACGUGGUGGUCCACGUGAAGUGCACUCAAAAAGCCCACCUUAGGAGAUACCCUACGCGCCUCUACGACUGAGGUGAGAAUAUAAAAGAGUUUACAGUGCCCCUCUAAUAGGUUGGCCCACGGAACCCCCAACCACUGCAGUAGCUAAUCUUUUAUCUACCACCUGAUUUAUAAAAUCUUUUUACCGUAUGACAUGGCAAUUUAUCGCAACCUAGCCUCUCAAGGCUGAAUACAUAGUACAAAUAAUUCUAACACUAAAAUCAGUUUAGCCAUUCAUGCUCAUUUAUUGUCAUAAGCCAUCCAAUUUAAAACCAUAAAUUUACAACACAAGCAGGCAGUCUCCAAUUACUCUAUUUUCAAAACCAAUAUUCGAUUUUUCAAAAAAUUUAUAAAAUCAUUUUAUAAAAUCACAAUUUCUCCUAAAACAUAGCAAUUUACCAUUUAAACCCAUUUUUCAUAUAAUCACACAAUUGUAUAAAACUACUCUAGAUAAUUAAGACGAUAAUAAGUUUACUCACAGUUUUCGAAAACUAAAUUCGGGUACUCCAACUAUUACUCAUCGCGUGCGAUUUCUUUGCCCUUGCUAGGGGAUUCGCCACCUUGACAAAUUGCACAAUUAAGAGGUUUACUACUUUGGUACUAAACCAAAAUAAACAAAUUUAUACUACUAAUGCAUGAUAUGAAGUGCAAAAUGUCUAAAUUUUGCCUAAACGCGAUGCUAGCCUAUUUCGGUCUUUUACCUGAUAAAUCGAUAUACGCGUCCGUUUAAACUCUAAAUUAAUUUUUUUCAAUUUUUAUACCUCAAUUGCACCCAAAUUGAUGUAAUGUUCGUCAGUGUGGUGCAAAUUAUCAGUCCCGGUAGCAAAUUAUGAAAAUACCCAUAGUGGGUAAAAAUUCAUAUUUUUGCUCCAAAAAUUUCCAUUAUUUUUCUAGGCUCAUAAUUCAUCAUUCCUCAUCAUAAUUUCUCAAAUAAACAUCAAGAUCAGCAGCCAAUAUUCCCCUAGAAAAUUCGGCCAAUAAUGGUAAUGGAGGAAAAUGAAUUCUUUUCUUGUUGUUUUGUUUCUAAAUAUGCUAAACUAACUAAAAACACUAACAUAACUUAAAAUCAAAUUAAUCUAACUUCAUUCUCUCUCCAUACCCAUUUGGGCAGCCAUGAAUUCACCAUGAAAACAUGAAAUCUAACCAUGGAAAAUAAGGAGAAAUGCAUGGGAAAGGUAGAUCACAAGUCAAAAUCAAGAAAUUUUACCUUUGAUUGCUUGAUUUCUUGAAAUCCACCAAUUUUCUUUUAAUUUUCCUACCUAGGUUUCUUGUUUUUUCCCUUUCCUCCUUUUGUUCUUCCUUUUUCUUUGUUUGUCCG